AGUCAAUGGAAUUGGCAGUCAAGAGAAGUUUAACUGAAUCUCUGAGUGGCAAGAGUCAGGAGAGGUUUAACUGAAUAUAGAAGGAGAAGAAGUAUUUACAUUAGAAGUCUGAUUCACAGGUCGGGGCAAAGUGAAAAACAUCUGCACUUUUAAAAGAGAGGUCAAAAGUCCGUCUGACUCACCUGUGCUGAGUGACUUGAAUGCCAUCUAAUCUAACUUCAAGAUCAUCAGGAUACUUGCCAACAAGGUCACAGUGGACUCCAUGGAGCAACUGCCCUCAGGAGGCAACAGGUCACAGUGUUUGGACACCGCAUGAACAUGCCAAUUUCCUGUGUUGUAAUAUUUUUAUGCACUUUAAGAAGACCACCAGAAACAGCAGAGUGAGUGAAUGACUGAGGCGCAUAUUGGACAAAAAUCACUUAUCCAAGACCACGUUACUACAACCCCAGGGCACAGAAGCUAAGUCUUCCUAUUGUACUGAACUCAGUUGACUGGAAUUUGUUCAGGAAAGCAUGAAGUCAAAUGGAAGCUAGUCCGUGACUGGAUUCAUCUUUUGGUAAAAAACGAAGAGGAGACCCCAUAUCCUGGAGGUUCUUGCUUAACCCUGUCCCUAAUAAGACCUAACUUUAUGAGUCUUCUCCUUAGAGGCAGUCCUAGGGUAAGAGUGAUUAUUCCUGUGAGCCUUGUAGGUACUUUCGAAUCAAGGAAAUUAGUAGUUGAUUGCUAAUUAAUUCAGUAUUUAAUGAAUUUAAGUACCUAGGCAAUGAGGCCACAAUAGCAAAUAAGACACAGACCUGUUUUCAAAAAGUAGCCUGUAAAUAAGAUAUUUUUUUCUGCCAUGGUGGCAAAGGCAUGACUAUGGUGAUGAACAUUCAUAGGCUCACCUUCUAGCUCUGUUGUAUGUUAACUGUGUGAACUUGGGUCAAGUUAUGAAAACUCUAAGAACUCUCAAAACUCCUGAUCUGUUUUAACAUGAAAGUAAAGAUAUCUAAUUGAAUUGUUGUGAAACUUAAAUGUAAUGUGACAUCCAAAGAAUGUAGCCCAAAGUUGGAUUUCAGUAAGUGAUAAAUAGAAGUAUUUAAACAUGGGUAUGGUAUGUUCUGUAACAGAAGAAUGUCUAUGUGCUGGGGAUACCUAGAGACAGUGAAAAUUCUGUCUGGCCUGCGAAUUAUAAUAAAAUGACUCUUUAAAGUCAA
RNAcentral lists this long non-coding RNA (1196 nucleotides) under Homo sapiens (human). Its description in RNAcentral is "long independently transcribed non-coding RNA 1811, transcript variant 1 (LINC01811)". The record is from RNAcentral. Lineage: Eukaryota; Metazoa; Chordata; Mammalia; Primates; Hominidae.